RNAcentral lists this ribosomal RNA (1120 nucleotides) under Bacteroides faecis. RNAcentral describes it as "bacterial SSU rRNA". It matches the Rfam family "Bacterial small subunit ribosomal RNA", at positions 226 to 1350 of the family's 1533-position model. The record is from RNAcentral. Lineage: Bacteria; Pseudomonadati; Bacteroidota; Bacteroidia; Bacteroidales; Bacteroidaceae.
UGGGGAUGCGUUCCAUUAGGCAGUUGGUGGGGUAACGGCCCACCAAACCUUCGAUGGAUAGGGGUUCUGAGAGGAAGGUCCCCCACAUUGGAACUGAGACACGGUCCAAACUCCUACGGGAGGCAGCAGUGAGGAAUAUUGGUCAAUGGACGAGAGUCUGAACCAGCCAAGUAGCGUGAAGGAUGACUGCCCUAUGGGUUGUAAACUUCUUUUAUAUGGGAAUAAAGUGGUCCACGUGUGGAUUUUUGUAUGUACCAUAUGAAUAAGGAUCGGCUAACUCCGUGCCAGCAGCCGCGGUAAUACGGAGGAUCCGAGCGUUAUCCGGAUUUAUUGGGUUUAAAGGGAGCGUAGGUGGACAGUUAAGUCAGUUGUGAAAGUUUGCGGCUCAACCGUAAAAUUGCAGUUGAUACUGGCUGUCUUGAGUACAGUAGAGGUGGGCGGAAUUCGUGGUGUAGCGGUGAAAUGCUUAGAUAUCACGAAGAACUCCGAUUGCGAAGGCAGCUCACUGGACUGCAACUGACACUGAUGCUCGAAAGUGUGGGUAUCAAACAGGAUUAGAUACCCUGGUAGUCCACACAGUAAACGAUGAAUACUCGCUGUUUGCGAUAUACAGUAAGCGGCCAAGCGAAAGCAUUAAGUAUUCCACCUGGGGAGUACGCCGGCAACGGUGAAACUCAAAGGAAUUGACGGGGGCCCGCACAAGCGGAGGAACAUGUGGUUUAAUUCGAUGAUACGCGAGGAACCUUACCCGGGCUUAAAUUGCAUUUGAAUAUAUUGGAAACAGUAUAGUCGUAAGACAAAUGUGAAGGUGCUGCAUGGUUGUCGUCAGCUCGUGCCGUGAGGUGUCGGCUUAAGUGCCAUAACGAGCGCAACCCUUAUCUUUAGUUACUAACAGGUCAUGCUGAGGACUCUGGAGAGACUGCCGUCGUAAGAUGUGAGGAAGGUGGGGAUGACGUCAAAUCAGCACGGCCCUUACGUCCGGGGCUACACACGUGUUACAAUGGGGGGUACAGAAGGCCGCUACCUGGUGACAGGAUGCUAAUCCCAAAAGCCUCUCUCAGUUCGGAUCGAAGUCUGCAACCCGACUUCGUGAAGCUGGAUUCGCUAGUAAUCGCGCAUC